This 145-nucleotide unclassified non-coding RNA is filed under the name soil metagenome. RNAcentral's name for it is "partial internal transcribed spacer 1". The record is from RNAcentral.
UAAUAAGUGUUUUAUGGCACUUUUUAAAUCCAUAUCCACCUUGUGUGCAAUGUCAGUCGAUCUUCUUCAUGGAGAUCGACCAAACAUCAACCUUUAUUUUUAACUCUUUGUCUGAAAAAUAUUAUGAAUCAAACAAUUCAAAAUA